AUACGUAGGGGGCGAGCGUUGUCCGGAAUGAUUGGGCGUAAAGGGCACGUAGGCGGCCCGGUAAGUCUGGAGUGAAAGUCCUGUUUUUAAGAUGGGAAUUGCUUUGGAUACUGUCGGGCUUGAGUGCAGGAGAGGUAAGUGGAAUUCCCAGUGUAGCGGUGAAAUGCGUAGAGAUUGGGAGGAACACCAGUGGCGAAGGCGACUUACUGGACUGUAACUGACGCUGAGGCGCGAAAGCGUGGGGAGCGAACAGGAUUAGAUACCCUGGUAGUCCACGCGGUAAACGAUGAAUGCUAGGUGUAGGGGGUAUCGACCCCUCCUGUGCCGGAGUAAACACAAUAAGCAUUCCGCCUGGGGAGUACGGCCGCAAGGUUGAAACUCAAAUGAAUUGACGGGG
This 397-nucleotide ribosomal RNA is filed under the name uncultured bacterium. Its description in RNAcentral is "partial 16S ribosomal RNA". It matches the Rfam family "Bacterial small subunit ribosomal RNA", at positions 523 to 918 of the family's 1533-position model. The record is from RNAcentral.